UUCUUCUUCUUCUUCUUCUUCUUCUUCUUCUUCUUCUUCUUCUUCUUCUUCUUCUUCUUCUUCUUCUUCUUCUUCUUCUUCUUCUUCUUCUUCUUCCUUCACCUAAUUUAAUCUAACCAAACUACUACUGCUACUACUACUACAAUUUUUCUCCUCCUCCUGCUCUUUUGUCUUACCUAACAUAACCAAACUACUACUACUACUACUACUACCUACAACUACUACUACUACAGCUCUGGAUAGUAUAUAUAUGUCUGGUGCAUGCUGAGGACAAGGCACACCUCCCAAGACUAUCCGGUGUGGCGUUAGUCAAGCCAUGGCAAAUAGUCUGGAGCCCUUGCCUUUGUACUAUUCCUGAUAGUCUUUGCUGUGGCUGCUGCUGCUGCUGCUGCCUACAUGUGGGUCAAAGGUUAGUAGUACACUAUCCCAGGCUGUUCUGCUGGGAUAGUAUGCCAUCUUGCACUAUUUUGGUAGAAGUUGACCAUUUUUAACUGUCUUGGCAGGAUAGUACAUGAUUUUGGACUAUUUUGCUAUGAUGGGAUGUUUUUUGUGGUGUUUUGUUCAAAAUAGUACACCAUUUUGUGAAGUCAUCCCCCUCCUAAAAAAAAUUUCAUACUAAAAAAACACCAAAAACACAAUUUUAGCCAUCACCCAUAAAAUAGUUUACUAUCUGACUAUCCAGAGGCACAGCAGACUCAGGUAGUCAAGGAUUUCACAGAGGAGGCCUUGAAACAUAAACCCCCAAAAAACACAAUUUUGAACUAUUUUGACUAUUAGCCCCAAAAUAGAACACCAUCUGACUAUCCAUAAAGUGAGGGACUAAAUUAUACAUCACAAAAAAUAUAGUCAUAUUUGAAGAGCAAAAAAACAUUGAUAGUAACAUUUUCAACACAAAACCACAAAGGAAACCCAUAGUUUUAACUAUUGACCAAAGCAGUGUACUAUCUGACUAUCCCCAGUCACAGCAGAGCCCCAGAGGAGCUAGCACAGACCAGUGUUGUUGUUGUUGUUGUUGUUGAUCCUGCUAUGGGUGGUGCUGAUGGAGCCCCAUGUGGAGCUGUCCCUGGCUGUCACCAUCACCACCUCCCUGCCACACUCUCUCUCUCUCUCUCUCAAAAGCCACAAGUUCCUUUAGUGCUCUGAACAUUUUUUGUUUUUGUAAAGGCAUUUUAAAGGUUGGAGCAAAGCCUUGAAUGAUGAGCACCUUUGUUGACCUGAGUGAGACCUCUGCUACAGCCCCACAUGACAGAAGAGACAACUAGUGGGCCGUGUGUGGUGAACCCGUUUUGUCUGUCAGAGCCACCCCUACAGCCACACACCACCACCACCACCACAACUAGCAGGAGAGGGCAUCCACCACCUCCUCCUCCAGCAGCUGGCCAGGGCACAGGACCAGGCUGAGCAAGCAGGUGGUGAUGCAGAGGGUGGCCAGCUUGCCCGCCCCCUCCUGUUGGCCAGCCACAGCACAGCACACAGCUGCAGUCUGUUGCGGCCAGGCUACUGAGGCACAAGUCUAUGCACGCGUCCGGGACAUGAAGGUGACGAGAACAUGUCCUGCAGGAGAGAGCCGCAUUGUGGCAGGACCCCACAGUCUGUUUCUGUGCUGGGAGGAGGAGGGGAACAGCAGCAGCAGCAGAAGCAGAAGCAGCAGCAGCAGCAGCAGCAGCAGCAGUAGUAGUAGUAGUAGUAGUAGUAGUAGUAGUAGUAGUAGUAGUAGUAGUAGUAGUAGUAGUAGUAGUAGUAGUAGUAGUAGUAGUAGUAGCAGCAGCAGCAGCAGCAUUGAGCAGUGGUGGUGGUGGUGGUGUCAGUGGUGCAGCUGUCCACUCCUCCACAGCUGCUGCCUUGCCUCAACAUGCUGUGUCUUCCCUCACCUGCAAUGAACAGCACUGAACAACACCUCUCCUAUGAUGAAUAACACUGAGUAUCACCUCUUCCCUGCAUCAACAACACUGAACAACACCUCUCCUGUGAUGAACAACAUUGAGUAACAUCUCACCCCUGCAUCAACAACACUCAACACCUGCUUCACUUCACACUCAUUCAUGCUAGCCUUACCCCCCCCCCCUCUCUCUCUCUCUCUCUCUCUCUCUCUCUCUCUCUCUCUCUCUCUCUCUCUCUCUCUCUCUCUCUUUCUCUUCUCUUCUCUUCUCAGCCCACAGCUCCACAGUAUGUUCUCCACAGUGACUCCCCACAGCCCCUCACCAAUAAGUGUCACACACACACACACACACACACACACACACACACACACACACACACACACACACACACACACACACACACACACACACACACACA
Long non-coding RNA from Scylla paramamosain (green mud crab), 2298 nucleotides. RefSeq lists it as uncharacterized. The transcript is spliced from 3 exons. Lineage: Eukaryota; Metazoa; Arthropoda; Malacostraca; Decapoda; Portunidae. The record is from RefSeq and is a predicted model, not a curated record.